RNAcentral lists this ribosomal RNA (2077 nucleotides) under Clostridioides difficile. RNAcentral describes it as "partial 23S ribosomal RNA". It matches the Rfam family "Bacterial large subunit ribosomal RNA", at positions 1 to 2101 of the family's 2925-position model. Lineage: Bacteria; Bacillati; Bacillota; Clostridia; Peptostreptococcales; Peptostreptococcaceae. The record is from RNAcentral.
GGUCAAGUUAUUAAGGGUGCAGGGCGGAUGCCUUGGCACUAGGAGCCGAUGAAGGACGUGAUAAGCUGCGAUAAGCUUCGGGGAGUUGCACGUAAACUUUGAUCCGAAGAUUUCCGAAUGAGGAAACUCACUUAGAGUAAUGUCUAAGUAUCAUUAAGUGAAUACAUAGCUUAAUGAGGGGAACUCAGGGAACUGAAACAUCUAAGUACCUGAAGGAAGAGAAAGAAAUUCGAUUCCGUAAGUAGCGGCGAGCGAACGCGGAUUAGCCCAAACCAAUAAAGUUUUCUUUAUUGGGGUUGCGGACAUAUCAUAACGAAGAGGUAUCGUAAUUGAAGAGGUUUGGAAAGACCCACCACAGAAGGUAAUAGUCCUGUAUGUUAAACGAGAAGACUUCAGAUAUGAUCCAGAGUACCACGGGACACGUGAAACCCUGUGGGAAGCAGGAGGGACCACCCUCCAAGGCUAAAUACUACCUAGUGACCGAUAGCGUAUAGUACCGUGAGGGAAAGGUGAAAAGAACCCCGGGAGGGGAGUGAAAUAGAACCUGAAACCCUGCACUUACAAGCUGUGGAAGCACAUUUCUUGUGUGACCGCGUACUUUUUGUAGAACGGGCCAACGAGUUACGUUAAGUAGCAAGGUUAAGCACUUAAGGUGUGGAGCCGUAGCGAAAGCGAGUUUUAACUGAGCGUUCAGUUACUUGACGUAGACCCGAAACCGGGCGACCUACCCAUGAGCAGGAUGAAGCGAAAGUAAAAUUUCGUGGAGGUCCGAACCCACGAGCGUUGAAAAGCUCGGGGAUGACUUGUGGGUAGCGGUGAAAUUCCAAUCGAGCCCGGAGAUAGCUGGUUCUCCCCGAAAUAGCUUUAGGGCUAGCCUCAAGGUGAGAGAUACGGAGGUAGAGCACUGAAUGUCCUAGGGGGUAUUGCACCUACCGAAGACUAUCAAACUCCGAAUGCCGUCAUCUUAUACUUGGGAGUCAGACUGUGGGUGAUAAGAUUCAUAGUCGAAAGGGCAACAGCCCAGAUCGUCAGCUAAGGUCCCUAAAUGUAAGUUAAGUGGUAAAGGAUGUGGGAUUGCACAGACAACCAGGAUGUUGGCUUAGAAGCAGCCACUCAUUCAAAGAGUGCGUAAUAGCUCACUGGUCGAGUGAUCCUGCGCCGAAGAUUUCCGGGGCUAAAACUUACUACCGAAGCUACGGCAUCAGUAAUGAUGGGUAGGGGAGCUUCCCAUACGGGUUGAAGCAUGACCGUAAGGACAUGUGGACAGUAUGGGAGUGAGAAUGUUGGCAUGAGUAGCGAGAUGUGGGUGAGAAUCCCACAGGCCGUAAACCCAAGGUUUCCAGGGGAAGGUUCGUCCGCCCUGGGUUAGUCGGGACCUAAGCUGAGGCCGAAAGGCGUAGGUGAUGGACAACAGGUUGAUAUUCCUGUACUACCGAUAACCGUUUGAGAGAAGGGAUGACACAGUAGGAUAAGCUAAGCACACUGUUGGUUAUGUGUGCCCAAGCAUUGAGGCAGUCAAAGUAGGCAAAUCCGCUUUGAUAAUGCUGGGAUGUGAUGGGGAGCGAAAUUUAGUAGCGAAGUAGCUGAUUUCACACUGUCAAGAAAAGUCUCUAUCGAGGUUAAAGGUACCCGUACCGCAAACCGACACAGGUGGGUGAGGAGAGUAUCCUAAGGCCAGCGAGAGAACUGUUGUUAAGGAACUCGGCAAAAUGACCCCGUAACUUAGGGAUAAGGGGUGCCACCAUCAGGUGGCCGCAGAGAAUAGGCCCAAGCGACUGUUUACCAAAAACAUAGGUUUCUGCUAAGUCGCAAGACGAUGUAUAGGAGCUGACGCCUGCCCGGUGCUGGAAGGUUAAGGGGAUCUGUUAGAGCAAUCGAAGCAGUGAACUUAAGCCCCAGUAAACGGCGGCCGUAACUAUAACGGUCCUAAGGUAGCGAAAUUCCUUGUCGGGUAAGUUCCGACCCGCACGAAAGGCGUAACGAUUUGGGCACUGUCUCAACAACAGACUCGGUGAAAUUGUAAUUCCGGUGAAGAUGCCGGAUACCUGCGACAGGACGGAAAGACCCCAUGGAGCUU